AUAACAACGAUAAGGGCGACUGUAAGGUCGCCCAUUUUGUGUCUGCUUAACAACUUGGUUUGGCCGCUGAUCAGUUAAGAUAGAUACAUAACUUCUGGCGUUACGCAUAGCUGGCUGUUAGCUCAAUUCCUUACUGUAAAUGACUAACGGUUUUUGUAACCAUGACCUGAGCUCUGCUCAGGUUUUUUUAU
RNAcentral lists this small RNA (191 nucleotides) under Vibrio diazotrophicus. RNAcentral's name for it is "MicX Vibrio cholerae sRNA". It matches the Rfam family "MicX Vibrio cholerae sRNA". Lineage: Bacteria; Pseudomonadati; Pseudomonadota; Gammaproteobacteria; Vibrionales; Vibrionaceae. The record is from RNAcentral.